Molecule: unclassified non-coding RNA, 336 nt
Filed under: uncultured fungus
Lineage: Eukaryota; Fungi
Description: sequence contains ITS1
Rfam family: 5.8S ribosomal RNA (bases 1-102)
Source: RNAcentral
AAAGUGCGAAAAGUGUCAUGACUUGCAGAUUCCCGAGAGCUGACAAAUCUCUGAAUGCAAAUGGCAGUCGCGUUAGACCCGACUAUGUAUUGUAGAGUGUAGAUGCUCCAGCUAUUCAUCAAUGUAUGUCUAUACAUAUAUUGGAUCUGCGCUUGCGAAGAGAUCUCUCUCUUCGCGAGUGUUAAAAGCAAAGGUCUACAUUCCUUAACCAUAGGAAUGUGCACCGAUGGAAAGUGUAUCUCUAUACUGAAAAUCGGAUGCCUCAUAUGAGACCCUUAAUUCUACCAUAUCUAAUAUGAGCCACCUCUACAAUGCAUGAAAACCCGCUGAACUUAA